Molecule: ribosomal RNA, 16 nt
Filed under: Trypanosoma cruzi
Lineage: Eukaryota; Euglenozoa; Kinetoplastea; Trypanosomatida; Trypanosomatidae
Description: partial 5.8S ribosomal RNA
Source: RNAcentral
AUACGUGUCGCGAUGA